UACGAAGGUGGCAAGCGUUACUCGGAAUUACUAGGCGUAAAGGGCAGGUAGGUGGUUUGGUAAGUCUGUUGUGUAAGCUCCCGGCUUAACUGGGAGAGGUCAACAGAAACUACCAGACUUGAGUAUAGGAGAGGUUACUGGAAUUCCCGGUGUAGCGGUGAAAUGCGCAGAGAUCGGGAGGAACACCAAUGGCGAAAGCAGGUAACUGGACUAUUACUGACACUAAGCUGCGAAAGCUAGGGGAGCAAACAGG
Molecule: ribosomal RNA, 253 nt
Filed under: uncultured bacterium
Lineage: Bacteria
Description: partial 16S ribosomal RNA
Rfam family: Bacterial small subunit ribosomal RNA
Source: RNAcentral